RNAcentral lists this unclassified non-coding RNA (343 nucleotides) under soil metagenome. RNAcentral's name for it is "partial contains 5.8S ribosomal RNA, internal transcribed spacer 2, and large subunit ribosomal RNA". The stretch from base 1 to 120 matches the Rfam family "5.8S ribosomal RNA", at positions 35 to 154 of the family's 154-position model. The record is from RNAcentral.
GAUGAAGAACGUAGCGAAAUGCGAUAAGUAAUGUGAAUUGCAGAAUUCAGUGAAUCAUCGAAUCUUUGAACGCACAUUGCGCCCGCCAGCAUUCUGGCGGGCAUGCCUGUUCGGGCGUCAUUUCAACCCUCGAGCCCCCCCGGGGGCCUCGGUGUUGGGGGACGGCACACCAGCCGCCCCCGAAAUGCAGUGGCGACCCCGCCGCAGCCUCCCCUGCGUAGUAGCACACACCUCGCACCGGAGCGCGGAGGCGGUCACGCCGUAAAACGCCCAACUUUCUUAGAGUUGACCUCGGAUCAGGUAGGAAUACCCGCUGAACUUAAGCAUAUCAAUAAGCGGAGGA